This 2176-nucleotide long non-coding RNA is filed under the name Sus scrofa (pig). Its description in RNAcentral is "lncRNA (ENSSSCG00005023015.1)". Lineage: Eukaryota; Metazoa; Chordata; Mammalia; Artiodactyla; Suidae. The record is from RNAcentral.
GGGGGAGCAAGAGGUGCUCCUGGAGACCCACAGGCCCCGAGACCCGUCCUGCUGUCUGGGGCGAUCCCACAACCUGCGAGAACCUCUCGGGAGUACAAACACUGCCAGUUCUUUCUUUUCUUUCUUCCUUCCUUGUCAUUUUUUAUUUUUUGGCCACCCUGCAGCACAUGGAAGUUUCUGGGCCAGGAGUCAGAGCCAAACCCCGGGUGUGACCCACACGGAAGCUGCGGCAACGCUGGAUCCUUUAACCCGCUGUGCUGGGCCGGGGAUUGAGCCUGUGUCUUGGUGCUGCAGAGACACUCCCAAUCCUGCUGGGCCACAGUGGGAACUCCCUUCCUUUCUUUUAAGGAGAUGAUUUAUGGAGGUAAAAUUCAUAGAUCAUAAAAGUAACCUUUUUACAGCAAACAAUUCAACGGCAUUUAAUACAUGAAAAAUGUACAACCACGGAGUUCCCGUCAUGGCGCAGCAGAAACGAAUCCGACUAGUAUCCAUGAGGAUGCGGGUUCGGUCCCUGGCCUCACUCGGUGGGCUGGGGAUCCAGCGUUUUCGACUCUGCACCGCGGCCUCCAGCCCCUCCCUGCGGCCCCCUGCCCACAGCCGCCUGCUGUGCUAAGCGGUGCCCCCCUGUGGCACCGACGGGAGAGGCCAGAGCCCAGCGUCGGACAGCGUGUGCCCCGCGCACUGCACGGGGCUUGGGGACUUUGGAUGGGACAGAGUGGCCUUGGCANNNNNNNNNNNNNNNNNNNNNNNNNNNNNNNNNNNNNNNNNNNNNNNNUCCCCCCUCCCUCAGAAAGCAAGUGGGCACCACAGCUGCGUUUAGCGAAAGCUGGAUGACUUUCCGAAUCAUUUUUAUUGCAAAUCACUUAACAAAAAGAUGGGAAAAAUACAUCAUUUUCAUCCUCUAGUUUUGCACGUAGAUAACUUUUUUGAAAAGUUUCCUUUUUAUGUAAACUACACUAUAUUUUAUAAAACACAAGAAGAAGCACGAUCUUAAGACGUGUCUGUCAAUGCCCAACAGGGGGUCCCGCAUCGCCCUCCCCUCCCCCCAGGCGGCAGGGCUGCCCUGCGAGGGGCAAGGCCUUUCCUGGGUUUGCUCUGAGGAGCUACUGUUCCGGCUCUGGCGGCUGCAGGACGCGAGGCCUGGCUUCUAACGUCCCUUUAACAGCAGGAACCCUGACAGGUUGGUCCAAUCAGAUUUCUUAAACAAAAUCCCCUUGAAGACGUAUGUACAGACCUUUCCUCUGCCACAGGCGUAUACUGGGUGUUCUAAGACUCUGCUCCUCCCGGGCACGCCGCCCCCAACCCGGGAGGGGUGGCCGGCGAGCAGGCUCCAGGCGCCCCGCCCCGCCCACUGAGCCUGGCCGUGCCCUGGGACCAGGGUCUCUGCGCACUGAGGCUGGCUGGGCACGGCUGGCUUUUUCCUUGGAAAACCGGCCCAGGCAGUGUCCUUCCCCAGCAAGGGGGAAGCCUCCCCACGGGGGGUCCAGGGUGGGCACCACACCUCCGACUUCUCCCUCGACACGAUGCGUACGCGUCAGCGGUGCAGAGGAGCCUCCAGAAAGAGCAAGAACUCCCCAGACCAACGAACAGCGACGUAACACUGAACCCCAAACAAAGAUUCAUGAUUCGGUACCAUGACACGUACCCUUGGCCCGUGCUUAAGAAAAGUCACCGAAGAGCACACCAAAGCACAUGAGCCCCACGGUCUUGUAUUUUACGUUCCUGCCUCGGAUGCAGAUGCACCCACACGCCAAAGGAGUAAAGGGCUGGCUUCCCUGGCUCUAGAGGCAUCUUCCAACGUGCGGGCGGUGCUGGGAGCGGGGGUCCGGGUUUGGGGGAGGGGCGCCUCUGGGGACCUCGCCGCCGGGCCCGGACGCGCCGGGAGCUUUUGGAGCUACGUUGCUCCCUUCUCAGACAUCCUUUCUCUUGGGUGCAGCGAAAGGAAAUCAAUAAAUAAAUGGCAUUUUAAAAUCCUGAAUCUUUGUUUAUAUUGUACACACACCCAGGAGCCUUUAUCCGAAGUAGGAAAGUCGUGAUCGAGCAGUAGCUUUUUGUUUGUUUGUUUUUCCGAGUAGAUAAAAGUUUUUACCUGGUGCCAUAUAAAACAGUACAUAUAAAUAAAAAGGCAGUGUUUCUGUGUAAAAUAAAAGUACAUAAAUAAAUACUAAAAAAAAAA